CACACACGUGUGCGCAUUUAAAGUUUCUGUUAUAGAAAGCAUUUGUGUUUUAACUAUACAAUUGUGGUCACAGUGCCAUGAUACAGAAAGGUUGUGUGUGUGUGUCUUAUUUGAAAUGUAAAGUCUCAGUCUGAAAUAAUAUUGCACCCUGAGUUGCAGAUGAGCCAUGAAUCAGUGGCAGGAAGCGUGUUUAUUGUGUGUGUAUGUGUGUGUCAGGGGCGGGGGCCGCCGUGCCGCGUCACGCCAUUUGUAUUCGUGGUGAACGGGUUUGUAGGGCAUCUUUACAGUCCCUAAUGGAUCAAUUAGCACUAAUAUUCACCUUUGUGUAACAAAAGCCAACUGUAUCAGCUGCCAGUGAAGUCCCUCGUUUAUUCCAAGACCUAAUGGAUUCUUCCUCCAGGCCGGAAGUUGACCAGAAAUGCAGGUUUUUUUGGGUUUUUUUUUCCAAGCAAAGGCAAAACCGGUCUUGGACACCGAUCCGAUAUCACAUCUACUAGAGCUCGAGUGAUACAGGAUUUUACCGAUAAUGAAGUCAGGGGGUACCUGCCCAUAACCGAUUAAUCAACAAUCCACAGUUGAUUUCAAUUUCAGUCCAUGAAAUAUUGCUGAAGAUUAUUCCAAAAAUAAACAAUACUGACUUUGCCUUGAAAAUGUUCUGUACAUUUUUAUUUUUUAUAAUUUUUUUUUUAGAAGAAGAAAUGCAUAUAUAAAUAUUAAUAUAUAUUAACUGUCAAUAAAUAUUAAAGUGAGUGAAAAAUAUACAUCCAAACUGAACCGAAAAUUGACGCCCCAAAUAACAAAUAAAAAAAUAUACAUACAAAAUGAAUAAUAAAAAAACACUUCAGAUGUUUUCUCUACAGUAGUAGCUCGUUAUCCCGUCCCUGUAGGAUUUCGUAGGGUUUUUCUGUUUGUUUUUGGGUUUGUUUGUUGUUUGUGAUUGUUGCGGCCAAAACUGUGUGAUUUUGCUGUGGAUUCUUUCAAAGUUUGUGAUGCAAUUUACAGGUUUUUUUUGGGCUGUUGUGUGUGUUUCGUUUGGUUUUUUUUUUUUUGGUUUUUUUUUUUUUCGUUUUUUUUUUCUUUCCGAAAAAUGGCCAGUGGUGAUCAUCAUGACAAUCAUCAUAUUGUAUAGUGUUUCCUUUUGUAAAGAGGAUGUUUACAACAGGAAAUACUAUUUAAUAUGAUGAUUGUCAUGAUGAUCACCACUGGACGUCGUCACUGUGUCACGUCCCUCUUCCCUACGUAGUAAUCAUAUGGUAUUUGUGUCAUUUUCCUGCACACCCUGUCAUCAUCGAGUUGUUUCAUUAAACGCGUUACGUUACAGGAAUAACGUGUUCACUUUCCGGCACACGCUGCAACGUGAUCUUUUUGUCCAGUGCUUAUAAACAUUGCAAAAAUGAUGAGCCCUGCGUUACUGAACAGCUAUGACCAACAGCGGAGUGAUCACAUGCUAACAGGAUGGUGUUCAGUCUCAAUUUUGAAAGGAGCAGAAUAGGAAUCGAUGUGAGGAAGUGACGUGUUCAUCUGAAAGAGAUCCGGUUUAAGAGCAGCUCAGUGGAACAGCCUUAGUCUGGUCUUCUUUUAUUACGGUGAUUAAAUAGAAGGACGCAAGCGAUAAAGUACGCUAGCAUUUAGUUUACUGUUGAGUAAGGCUGUGUGGAGUCGUCCGUUUCAUCCCCCGUUAAUUUCCUGUUGGCGUUUCCUGUUGGUCAGACCACCUCACCUCCUCCUUUCCCAUUAUUUUUACCAGCUGAGGUUUGUUACACAAGCCCUUGGAAGCCCGAGGAAUUGCCUAAACAUGAGUAGAUUUCAGGAGCGGAACUGGCCCCAGAGGCAUCGUGAUCUGAUGCAAUUUCCUUCUCGAAAAAGCAAGAAGUGCUGGAUGUAGUCACUUAUAUAUAAACUGACACCAGCAACUGGGUGACGUUUAAAAAUACGAGCAAAAAAAUUUUAAUCGUGUAGUUAAACUGUGGGUUUUAUAAACCAGCUGUACAGCAUCUGAGUGACCUGAUUAUUCUGUACAGCAAUUCUAUAUAACAAUAUAUAAAGCUAGUUUGCUCCGUUCACUCAGUGACGUGCUGAACCAUGAGGGGGCGUGAACGAGGGCAUGUUGAAAAUGGUAUCGGGACGACACUAAAGGUGCCGUUUUAAAUAUUAGGGAUGGGCGAUAUCUUAUCGUUUGCGAUAUUCCGGUGGAAAUUCUCCCCACCGUAAGAAUGAGUCUUAUCACGAUGAUAACGAUAAAGCCUAGUUGAUGACGUGUUCGUGUGUACGACGGUCUGCGAGCCGUUCUCAUCUCGCGUGCAGAGCGAAAACCAGUACUGCGGAAGGCGGACGUGAAGCCGAGGAGGCGUUUAUCACUAAAUGAGGAGCUACCUUUUACAAUCUGGAACUGGUUUGGUUCCAGGUUCUGGUUUGGAAAAAGUUUUACUUUUAGGUUAAUGUUUGUGUUUCUGAGGCGCUCAGGACUGCAUGCAUCUGUGACUCGAAGCCAAAAACAGUGGUGAAUGGUGCUUUUUAAAAAAUUUUAUUUCUGCAUAUUUAAGCUUGGAGAAACGCACUUUCGUUCUUCUGUGCACGCCUUGUUGUGUGGUCUGAAUUACAAUAAAGUUCACUUUGACUUUGAUUUAUAUCGUCACUGAUAUCGUUAUCGCGAUAAAUACCAGAGAAUAUCGUGAUAUAGUUUUAAGUCCAUAUCGCCCAUCCCUACUAAAUAUACGUGUCUUUCAGUCUGUUCAAGCGGCUGCGUUGUGAGCAGCGUUGUGUACAUGUCCUCUAGGUGGCACCUCAGAGCCGAGACAUCCCUGUCUGUCUGAUUUCUGAGUCAAACCGUAAUGUUUAGCGUUUUUAACGCUCAACAACGUUUAACAUACUGAUGAGCUUUCUGCUGUCAUCGUGAUUGCCGUCAUGAUCCGCAUCUCUAAUCGCAAAACCCUCACCCUGCGUUCGUGAGUAUUUAUUCAUCUAGAAAAUCCAG
Molecule: long non-coding RNA, 2974 nt
Organism: Ictalurus punctatus (channel catfish)
Lineage: Eukaryota; Metazoa; Chordata; Actinopteri; Siluriformes; Ictaluridae
Source: Ensembl